CCCAGCGGGCGUUGCGCGACUCCGCGCGGGCUCCAGAAAGCGGGGACUUCUGGGACUUGUAGUGCCAGCUCGCGCCUCCCACUUCCUGGGGGGUAGCCGGGCGGGCGCCUGACGGAAGCUUCAGAACUCUACUCAACUGUUCUUUGCUUCUCCGAGGUCCUGGAAUCCGUAUCCCACCCACCACACCCAAAUUCUAUGGACGUGUAGAGAUCAGAGAAAGCUGAUUGUUCUGAGAAAGCUCUUCAAUCUUCUGCUGGACGGUUUCUGUAGAGACCUGACUUUCCAUUUCUGUGAAGUGCCCAGAACUCUUAGACCAAAAUGGGAGAACAACCUUCUUCAUUAUUUUUCUUCACUGAGCUUAUAAUCCUGCAGAUGUUGGUCACUGUUUGCUUCUGUGCUAGCGUGGCCUUCACCAUCAAACAAGGAUACAGCAACACAGCAUAACUCCCAGGAAACAUCUUAUCACAAAUUGGCGUCUGCUAUAAGGUAAGUUAAUAAUGCAAGGUUGAGCAAGUCUUUCUUUGAAGUAGAUCCUGGAAGGGUCCAGUAUUACAAUUUUGCUUAGGCCGUAGCCUUUUUGUACUGCCAUCAAUAAAGUGAGACUUAUAAUUGAUUAGUAAUAGUGACUAUGAUAGUAAAAACAAAAUACUACUACUAAUACUAAUUAAAUAGAUGUCAAAAUUUGAG
This 687-nucleotide long non-coding RNA is filed under the name Ailuropoda melanoleuca (giant panda). RNAcentral describes it as "lncRNA (ENSAMEG00000026634.1)". Lineage: Eukaryota; Metazoa; Chordata; Mammalia; Carnivora; Ursidae. The record is from RNAcentral.